GUAAUAGAUUAAGUAUUUUGAAUCGAAAAGUUAUCUUUUUCUAUGCUUCUAAGCUUUCUUGGUUUUUGCUCAGGAACAUAGGUUACGGCUUGGACAGAAAGCUAUAUUUCACCUGGAAGCGUUUGUGGCCAAGUUUAUGAGCAUCUACAAGGGUUUCCUGAUUGAGACAUUUGGCUGAAAUUAGAUGAAGAAAGGAUAUGAUUUUGUCAUCUAUUUGCUAUAGUUUGAUUUGGAUGUGGACAAAUCGUUCUGUGAUAGAUUCUCUGCUUGUGCUACAUUGCGUUGAAAAUCUUGGUUGACUGGAUU
Olea europaea var. sylvestris is the source of this 306-nucleotide long non-coding RNA. RefSeq lists it as uncharacterized. The record is from RefSeq and is a predicted model, not a curated record. The transcript is spliced from 2 exons. NCBI's taxonomy places the organism in Eukaryota, Viridiplantae, Streptophyta, Magnoliopsida, Lamiales, Oleaceae.